UAGUAAUCGUGGAUCAGCAUGCCACGGUGAAUACGUUCCCGGGCCUUGUACACACCGCCCGUCACACCAUGAGAGCCGGGAACACCCGAAGUCCGUAGUCUAACCUAUAUGGAGGACGCGGCCGAAGGUGGGUCCGGUAAAUUGGGGUGAAGUCGUAACAAGGUACC
RNAcentral lists this ribosomal RNA (167 nucleotides) under uncultured bacterium. RNAcentral describes it as "partial 16S ribosomal RNA". It matches the Rfam family "Bacterial small subunit ribosomal RNA", at positions 1336 to 1500 of the family's 1533-position model. The record is from RNAcentral.